RNAcentral lists this ribosomal RNA (507 nucleotides) under uncultured bacterium. Its description in RNAcentral is "bacterial SSU rRNA". It matches the Rfam family "Bacterial small subunit ribosomal RNA", at positions 8 to 507 of the family's 1533-position model. The record is from RNAcentral.
AGAGUUUGAUCAUGGCUCAGAUUGAACGCUGGCGGCAUGCCUUACACAUGCAAGUCGAACGGCAGCACGGGAGCCUGCUCCUGGUGGCGAGUGGCGAACGGGUGAGUAAUACAUCGGAACGUACCCUGAAGUGGGGGAUAACGUAGCGAAAGUUACGCUAAUACCGCAUAUUCUGUGAGCAGGAAAGAGGGGGAUCGCAAGACCUCUUGCUUUAGGAGCGGCCGAUGUCGGAUUAGCUAGUUGGUGAGGUAAAGGCUCACCAAGGCGACGAUCCGUAGCGGGGUCUGAGAGGAUGAUCCGCCACACUGGGACUGAGACACGGCCCAGACUCCUACGGGAGGCAGCAGUGGGGAAUUUUGGACAAUGGGCGCAAGCCUGAUCCAGCCAUGCCGCGUGAGUGAAGAAGGCCUUCGGGUUGUAAAGCUCUUUCGGUGGGGAAGAAAUUGCUUCGGUUAAUACCUGGAGUAGGUGACGGUACCCGCAUAAGAAGCACCGGCUAACUACGUG